Molecule: ribosomal RNA, 716 nt
Filed under: Staphylococcus equorum
Lineage: Bacteria; Bacillati; Bacillota; Bacilli; Caryophanales; Staphylococcaceae
Description: bacterial SSU rRNA
Rfam family: Bacterial small subunit ribosomal RNA
Source: RNAcentral
AUGCAGUCGAGCGAACGGAUAAGGAGCUUGCUCCUUUGAAGUUAGCGGCGGACGGGUGAGUAACACGUGGGUAACCUACCUAUAAGACUGGAAUAACUUCGGGAAACCGGAGCUAAUGCCGGAUAACAUUUGGAACCGCAUGGUUCUAAAGUAAAAGAUGGUUUUGCUAUCACUUAUAGAUGGACCCGCGCCGUAUUAGCUAGUUGGUAAGGUAACGGCUUACCAAGGCAACGAUACGUAGCCGACCUGAGAGGGUGAUCGGCCACACUGGAACUGAGACACGGUCCAGACUCCUACGGGAGGCAGCAGUAGGGAAUCUUCCGCAAUGGACGAAAGUCUGACGGAGCAACGCCGCGUGAGUGAUGAAGGUUUUCGGAUCGUAAAACUCUGUUAUUAGGGAAGAACAAAUGCGUAAGUAACUGUGCGCAUCUUGACGGUACCUAAUCAGAAAGCCACGGCUAACUACGUGCCAGCAGCCGCGGUAAUACGUAGGUGGCAAGCGUUAUCCGGAAUUAUUGGGCGUAAAGCGCGCGUAGGCGGUUUCUUAAGUCUGAUGUGAAAGCCCACGGCUCAACCGUGGAGGGUCAUUGGAAACUGGGAAACUUGAGUACAGAAGAGGAAAGUGGAAUUCCAUGUGUAGCGGUGAAAUGCGCAGAGAUAUGGAGGAACACCAGUGGCGAAGGCGACUUUCUGGUCUGUAACUGACGCUGAUGUGC